Molecule: non-coding RNA, 122 nt
Organism: Schistosoma mattheei
Lineage: Eukaryota; Metazoa; Platyhelminthes; Trematoda; Strigeidida; Schistosomatidae
Source: Rfam
UUGGGCGACCAUACCGCGUUGAAAGCACCGGUUCUCGUCCGAUCACCGCAGUUAAGCAAUGUUGGGCCCGGUCAGUAUUUGCAUGGGCUAAAGAGAUGAUCAUGAUCAUUGUGGUUCCUGGA